UCCUCGAUAGCUCAGCUUGGGUAGAGCCCGUCAGACAUGAAGAAUCUGAAGGUCCCUGGUUCGAUCCCGGGUCGCGGCA
This 79-nucleotide transfer RNA is filed under the name Phytophthora infestans T30-4. RNAcentral's name for it is "tRNA-Ser". The record is from RNAcentral. Lineage: Eukaryota; Oomycota; Peronosporomycetes; Peronosporales; Peronosporaceae.